This 460-nucleotide ribosomal RNA is filed under the name uncultured bacterium. Its description in RNAcentral is "partial 16S ribosomal RNA". It matches the Rfam family "Bacterial small subunit ribosomal RNA", at positions 338 to 795 of the family's 1533-position model. The record is from RNAcentral.
CCUACGGGAGGCAGCAGUGAGGAAUAUUGGUCAAUGGGCACGAGCCUGAACCAGCCAAGUAGCGUGAAGGAUGACUGCCCUACGGGUUGUAAACUUCUUUUAUAAAGGAAUAAAGUGAGGCACGUGUGCCUUUUUGUAUGUACCUUAUGAAUAAGGAUCGGCUAACUCCGUGCCAGCAGCCGCGGUAAUACGGAGGAUCCGAGCGUUAUCCGGAUUUAUUGGGUUUAAAGGGUGCGUAGGCGGCAUUGUAAGUCAGCGGUGAAAUUCUGUGGCUCAACCAUAGAAUUGCAGUUGAAACUGGGGGUCUUGAGUAUGUUGGAGGCAGGCGGAAUGCGUGGUGUAGCGGUGAAAUGCUUAGAGAUCACGCAGAACACUGAUUGCGAAGGCAGCCUGCCAGGCCAUGACUGACGCUGAUGCACGAAAGCGUGGGGAUCAAACAGGAUUAGAUACCCUUGUAGUC